This 500-nucleotide ribosomal RNA is filed under the name uncultured bacterium. RNAcentral's name for it is "partial 16S ribosomal RNA". It matches the Rfam family "Bacterial small subunit ribosomal RNA", at positions 30 to 523 of the family's 1533-position model. The record is from RNAcentral.
AUUGAACGCUGGCGGCAGGCCUAACACAUGCAAGUCGAGCGGAUGACGGGAGCUUGCUCCUUGAUUCAGCGGCGGACGGGUGAGUAAUGCCUAGGAAUCUGCCUGGUAGUGGGGGACAACGGUUCGAAAGGAACGCUAAUACCGCAUACGUCCUACGGGAGAAAGCAGGGGACCUUCGGGCCUCGCGCUAUCAGAUGAGCCUAGGUCGGAUUAGCUAGUUGGUGGGGUAAUGGCUCACCAAGGCGACGAUCCGUAACUGGUCUGAGGGGAUGAUCAGUCACACUGGAACUGAGACACGGUCCAGACUCCUACGGGAGGCAGCAGUGGGGAAUAUUGGACAAUGGGCGAAAGCCUGAUCCAGCCAUGCCGCGUGUGUGAAGAAGGUCUUCGGAUUGUAAAGCACUUUAAGUUGGGAGGAAGGGCAGUAAGUUAAUACCUUGCUGUUUUGACGUUACCGACAGAAUAAGCAUCGGCUAACUCUGUGCCAGCCGCCGCCGUAA